AUUGAACGCUGGCGGCAGGCCUAACACAUGCAAGUCGAGCGAGAGGCGGACGGGGGAGUAAUGUGUGUGGAACUGUCGGAUAGAGGGGGGUAACUCCAGGAGACGCUGGCUAUAAACGCAUAUUAUCGGAUAACAGCAUAUGGGAUUAGCGAGUAGGUGAGGUAAUGGCUCACCUCGGGGACGAUCCCUAGCUGGUCUGAGAGGAUGAUCAGCCACACUGGGACUGAGACACGGCCCAGACUCCUACGGGAGGCAGCAGUGGGGAAUAUUGCACAAUGGGCGCAAGCCUGAUGCAGCCAUGCCGCGUGUAUGAAGAAGGCCCUAGGGUUGUAAAGUACUUUCAGUAGGGAGGCGUUACCGACAGAAGAAGCACCGGCUAACUCCGUGCCAGCAGCCGCGGUAAUAC
RNAcentral lists this ribosomal RNA (406 nucleotides) under uncultured bacterium. Its description in RNAcentral is "partial 16S ribosomal RNA". It matches the Rfam family "Bacterial small subunit ribosomal RNA", at positions 30 to 526 of the family's 1533-position model. The record is from RNAcentral.